GGGAGUUAUUGAGUUUAACAGUCACUCCUUACCUGGCUUUUCUCUAAGCUAGAAAGGGGGACUUUUGUUCUAUCAUCUUCUGGGAAUAGACUAAUCUUGAGGAAAGAUUAGGAAAGUCCUGGGUGUGGAGAACUGCCUUGGAUAUCUGUCUUUCCCUGAAGUUCUGAGACCAGUCUGGCUGAGACAACUUUGUUAAGAAUUAGAGAUGAGGAAAACAAUGUCUGAGCAGAAGGUUCUGCCUACCCUGGUUCUCUGACAAAAUCCCUUUACUGUACUUAUUGAGAGAAAGAGCGUGAGAGACAGAUGGAAAGAUGCAGAAAGAAAGAGGUAAAGAUGGAAACAUUAGCAGAACAGAAGUACCAGCUGCAGCAAAAUAGAAGUGUCCUGAGGGUGAAAGAGAUUCAUUUGGGACUUUAUUUCUCUUUCCAGAAGAGAAGAGAUGGCCAAACCAUUAUGACUCAUUUCACAGAACAAGGAUUGAAGCAUAUGGAAAGUAAUUACAUUCAAAAUAUGCUAGAAAGUGAUUUCAUGAAUAAAGAUACAUCCCUCUCUACUCAAACUGACAGGCAGAGGCAAAAGAGCCAAAACAGAAAUGGAAAAGAAUCUCAGAGGCUAUGUAGUCCAACCCACACCUGCAGAAAAUUUUCAGCUACAACAUAUGAAAAAAAUAGUCAUCUAGAUUCUACUCACAAUUGUUUAUAAUUCUAAAAGAGUAUUUCAUAGAGACAUUCAGUAAAUAAACAUUUAUUCAAUACCUACUAUAUUUCA
Molecule: long non-coding RNA, 768 nt
Filed under: Monodelphis domestica (gray short-tailed opossum)
Lineage: Eukaryota; Metazoa; Chordata; Mammalia; Didelphimorphia; Didelphidae
Description: lncRNA (ENSMODG00000033463.2)
Source: RNAcentral